UGAUGAAAUGGUAAUGCUGGUAAAACU
This 27-nucleotide small RNA is filed under the name Bombyx mori (domestic silkworm). Its description in RNAcentral is "piRNA piR-bmo-1304903". Lineage: Eukaryota; Metazoa; Arthropoda; Insecta; Lepidoptera; Bombycidae. The record is from RNAcentral.